UGUCUAUAGCUAAAUUGGUUGUAAUUUUCUUUUCACCAUUAUGUGUGCAUUUAAGCGAAGACGAGAGAAGAUGAAAAGGUUGUGGAGGACGAGAAGGAAGGAGAAAUAAGUUAAAGGUCAAGAUUGAUGGGAAGAAGGUCAUCGGGUCACUGGUACAGUUUGGAUGCUCGACAUUCCAGAGGUCUGGGGAGAAACUCGGUCAGCCAUGGGAGUAAAAAGAGUAAAACAGUAUUUUAGAAACAGAUCAAUUUCUUGUGUUAUAAAUCAAGCGAGGGUUUCCCCUGCAAGUGAUGCAGGGUGGUGGGCCUGGUUUCCCCUUGCCAGGAUGCAGGAUGGUGGCCCUGGUUUCUCCUUGCCAGGAUGCAGGAUGGUGGCCCUGGUUUCACCUUGCCAGGAUGCAGGAUGGUGGCCCUGGUUUCACCUUGCCAGUGAUGCAGGAUGGUGGGCCUGGAAAGGUAAUGCGUCUGGUCAUUCUGAUAAAAUAGAAAUCUAAGGUCUGAUGUACGCAAUGGAGUGUAAAUAAAACAACCUUUGGCAGUUAAAAUUGUACGUGGUAAGCGGAAACCCUACUAUUCGUGAAAAAUUGCUCUCACCGUCACAGCACACUUUAUGAUGUAUCCCAGCUGAUACA
Molecule: long non-coding RNA, 631 nt
Organism: Patella vulgata (common limpet)
Lineage: Eukaryota; Metazoa; Mollusca; Gastropoda; Patellidae
Exons: 3
Source: RefSeq, a predicted model, not a curated record